AUGGAUCCGGAGCUGAUCGAGCACCUUGAGGCCAAAGUGAGUGCUGACAGUACAAGAUCUCACCCUCUCAUCGAUUUGUUCAUACCAACCAUCGACGGCGAGCACGGCAUAUGCUACACCCAUCCUGAGAAACUUCCAGGUAUCACACUGAGUGGCCUAAGCAAGCAUUUCUUCCAGCGCAAUUCCAGGGUGUUCAAAAGGGGCAUGUGGACGCGUCGCAAGAUACAGUCGGAGUGCAUCAUGCACGCGAUGUGGCACAACACCGGCAAUACCUUGCCGGUGAUGGUCAACGGCCAGCAGACGGGCAGCAAAAAGGUUUUGGUGCUGCACACCAACAAGAACUUUGACGAGCAGAGGACCAACUGGGUGAUGCACCAGUACCACCUCGGGGACCUGGAGCAAGAGAAGUAG
This 411-nucleotide ribosomal RNA is filed under the name Triticum aestivum (bread wheat). Its description in RNAcentral is "partial small subunit ribosomal RNA". The record is from RNAcentral. Lineage: Eukaryota; Viridiplantae; Streptophyta; Magnoliopsida; Poales; Poaceae.